This 279-nucleotide ribosomal RNA is filed under the name uncultured bacterium. Its description in RNAcentral is "partial 16S ribosomal RNA". It matches the Rfam family "Bacterial small subunit ribosomal RNA", at positions 506 to 784 of the family's 1533-position model. The record is from RNAcentral.
UGCCAGCCGCCGCGGUAAUACGGAGGGGGCUAGCGUUGUUCGGAAUUACUGGGCGUAAAGCGCACGUAGGCGGACUAUUAAGUCAGGGGUGAAAUCCCAGGGCUCAACCCUGGAACUGCCUUCGAUACUGGUAGUCUUGAGGUCGAGAGAGGUGAGUGGAAUUCCGAGUGUAGAGGUGAAAUUCGUAGAUAUUCGGAGGAACACCAGUGGCGAAAGCGACUUUCUGGCCCGUUCCUGACACUAAGACGCGAAAGCUAGGGUAGCAAACGGGAUUAGAUA